RNAcentral lists this ribosomal RNA (274 nucleotides) under uncultured bacterium. RNAcentral describes it as "partial 16S ribosomal RNA". It matches the Rfam family "Bacterial small subunit ribosomal RNA", at positions 523 to 796 of the family's 1533-position model. The record is from RNAcentral.
CUACGGAGGAUCCAAGCGUUAUCCGGAAUCAUUGGGUUUAAAGGGUCCGUAGGCGGGUUUGUAAGUCAGUGGUGAAGGUUUUCGGCUCAACCGGAAAAUUGCCAUUGAUACUGCAAGUCUUGAAUCAUUAUGAAGUGGUUAGAAUGUGUAGUGUAGCGGUGAAAUGCAUAGAUAUUACACAGAAUACCGAUUGCGAAGGCAGAUCACUAAUAAUGUAUUGACGCUAAGGGACGAAAGCGUGGGUAGCGAACAGGAUUAGAAACCCUAGUAGUCC